This 520-nucleotide long non-coding RNA is filed under the name Capra hircus (goat). Its description in RNAcentral is "lncRNA (ENSCHIG00010010359.1)". Lineage: Eukaryota; Metazoa; Chordata; Mammalia; Artiodactyla; Bovidae. The record is from RNAcentral.
GAGCUGGUGUGGGAGACAACAGUGCCAGGCUAGGCUUGACACAUGGAGAGGGAGACCUCCCUAUGAGUGAGGAGGGUCAGUGAAGGCUUCACAUUUAGGAGGACUCAGCCCUUCAGCCAGACCUUGAAGGGUGGGGAGGAUUUGGAGUGCCAGAAAGGGCCCUGGUGUUUUGGAGUGGUGAGUCACGCUGCCAUUGACAAUCGGAACAGCGAGGAAACUGGGAUCACAGAGGCUGAGUGAGCUCCCCAAGGAAGUUCAGUUUCUGUUAAUGAACUGACAUACCUGCUGGAGGACUGAUGAUGGCUUCCUGAGAUACUGGUGCCCCAGAGGACCUUCAGGUUUGUAUCAGGAAGUACCUUCACUCUUUAGUGUAGUUCAACACAGAGGGACCACUUAAGUCUCUGAAGACAGUGCAUUUCAGAGUUAACUUGCAUAGGCUAGGGGUGGGAGUGGGCAGUUGUUCAAACAGAUUCCUACCCCAGAGUUUUCUCCUCUGUCAGUGGGGCCUCAAAAAUUUGCA